UAGUUAUUGUGAUAUUGGCCUGGUUCACUCAGACAUGCGUACCACACACACUUAUGUCUUGUCCUAGAAACAUUGUAAGUUUGUAUGCGUGGUUUUUGGGUUUGAUUGAGCCGUGCCAAUAUCUCAGUGCUUCUU
This is a microRNA precursor of Vigna angularis (adzuki bean), 135 nucleotides long. NCBI's taxonomy places the organism in Eukaryota, Viridiplantae, Streptophyta, Magnoliopsida, Fabales, Fabaceae. The record is from Rfam.